CUAUGGCCAUACUACCGUGAACACACCUGGUCUCAGAUGCUAAGCAGGGUCAGGCCUGGUUAGUACUUGCAUGGGAGACAAUGGUUUUACUACUGCUCUUUCCCUCUGCAAACACUUGUUCUCUCAGUAGU
RNAcentral lists this ribosomal RNA (131 nucleotides) under Aotus nancymaae (Ma's night monkey). Lineage: Eukaryota; Metazoa; Chordata; Mammalia; Primates; Aotidae. The record is from RNAcentral.